GGGGGAAUUUUGGACAAUGGGCGAAAGCCUGAUCCAGCAAUGCCGCGUGUGUGAAGAAGGCCUUCGGGUUGUAAAGCACUUUUGUCCGGAAAGAAAUGGCUCUGGUUAAUACCUGGGGUCGAUGACGGUACCGGAAGAAUAAGGACCGGCUAACUACGUGCCAGCAGCCGCGGUAAUACGUAGGGUCCAAGCGUUAAUCGGAAUUACUGGGCGUAAAGCGUGCGCAGGCGGUUGUGCAAGACCGAUGUGAAAUCCCCGGGCUUAACCUGGGAAUUGCAUUGGUGACUGCACGGCUAGAGUGUGUCAGAGGGGGGUAGAAUUCCACGUGUAGCAGUGAAAUGCGUAGAGAUGUGGAGGAAUACCGAUGGCGAAGGCAAUCUCCUGGACCUGUACUGACGCUCAUGCACGAAAGCGUGGGGAGCAAACAGGAUUAGAUACCCUGGUAGUCCACGCCCUAAGCGAUGUCAACUGGUUGUUGG
RNAcentral lists this ribosomal RNA (479 nucleotides) under uncultured bacterium. RNAcentral describes it as "bacterial SSU rRNA". It matches the Rfam family "Bacterial small subunit ribosomal RNA", at positions 355 to 826 of the family's 1533-position model. The record is from RNAcentral.